Python bivittatus (Burmese python) is the source of this 104-nucleotide non-coding RNA. NCBI's taxonomy places the organism in Eukaryota, Metazoa, Chordata, Lepidosauria, Squamata, Pythonidae. The record is from RefSeq and is a predicted model, not a curated record.
AAGAGAAAUAGCCAAGCUGCCAAAGAAGGCUGUGCAUGCAAACAAAACUGAAACACACAAGAAAGAAAAGCCAAUAGAAAUAGCCCAGCUGCCAAAGAAGGAAA